CUGCCCUUGGGUUCGGAAUAACAGUUAGAAAUGACUGCUAAUACCGGAUGAUGUCUUCGGACCAAAGAUUUAUCGCCCAGGGAUGAGCCCGCGUAGGAUUAGGUAGUUGGUGGGGUAAGAGCCUACCAAGCCGACGAUCCUUAGCUGGUCUGAGAGGAUGAUCAGCCACACUGGGACUGAGACACGGCCCAGACUCCUACGGGAGGCAGCAGUGGGGAAUAUUGGACAAUGGGCGAAAGCCUGAUCCAGCAAUGCCGCGUGAGUGAUGAAGGCCUUAGGGUCGUAAAGCUCUUUUACCCGGGAUGAUAAUGACAGUACCGGGAGAAUAAGCUCCGGCUAACUCCGUGCCAGCAGCCGCGGUAAUACGGAGGGAGCUAGCGUUGUUCGGAAUUACUGGGCGUAAAGCGCGCGUAGGCGGUUAUUCAAGUCAGAGGUGAAAGCCCGGGGCUCAACCCCGGAACUGCCUUUGAAACUAGAUGACUAGAAUCUUGGAGAGGUCA
This 500-nucleotide ribosomal RNA is filed under the name uncultured Novosphingobium sp. RNAcentral's name for it is "bacterial SSU rRNA". It matches the Rfam family "Bacterial small subunit ribosomal RNA", at positions 126 to 660 of the family's 1533-position model. Lineage: Bacteria; Pseudomonadati; Pseudomonadota; Alphaproteobacteria; Sphingomonadales; Sphingomonadaceae. The record is from RNAcentral.